AAAUUGAAGAGUUUGAUCAUGGCUCAGAUUGAACGCUGGCGGCAGGCCUAACACAUGCAAGUCGAGCGGUAGCACAGAGAGCUUGCUCUCGGGUGACGAGCGGCGGACGGGUGAGUAAUGUCUGGGAAACUGCCUGAUGGAGGGGGAUAACUACUGGAAACGGUAGCUAAUACCGCAUAACGUCGCAAGACCAAAGUGGGGGACCUUCGGGCCUCAUGCCAUCAGAUGUGCCCAGAUGGGAUUAGCUAGUAGGUGGGGUAACGGCUCACCUAGGCGACGAUCCCUAGCUGGUCUGAGAGGAUGACCAGCCACACUGGAACUGAGACACGGUCCAGACUCCUACGGGAGGCAGCAGUGGGGAAUAUUGCACAAUGGGCGCAAGCCUGAUGCAGCCAUGCCGCGUGUGUGAAGAAGGCCUUCGGGUUGUAAAGCACUUUCAGCGGGGAGGAAGGCGUUAAGGUUAAUAACCUUGGCGAUUGACGUUACCCGCAGAAGAAGCACCGGCUAACUCCGUGCCAGCAGCCGCGGUAAUACGGAGGGUGCAAGCGUUAAUCGGAAUUACUGGGCGUAAAGCGCACGCAGGCGGUCUGUCAAGUCGGAUGUGAAAUCCCCGGGCUCAACCUGGGAACUGCAUUCGAAACUGGCAGGCUAGAGUCUUGUAGAGGGGGUAGAAUUCCAGGUGUAGCGGUGAAAUGCGUAGAGAUCUGGAGGAAUACCGGUGGCGAAGGCGGCCCCUGGACAAAGACUGACGCUCAGGUGCGAAAGCGUGGGGAGCAAACAGGAUUAGAUACCCUGGUAGUCCACGCCGUAAACGAUGUCGAUUUGGAGGUUGUGCCCUUGAGGCGUGGCUUCCGGAGCUAACGCGUUAAAUCGACCGCCUGGGGAGUACGGCCGCAAGGUUAAAACUCAAAUGAAUUGACGGGGGCCCGCACAAGCGGUGGAGCAUGUGGUUUAAUUCGAUGCAACGCGAAGAACCUUACCUGGUCUUGACAUCCACAGAACUUUCCAGAGAUGGAUUGGUGCCUUCGGGAACUGUGAGACAGGUGCUGCAUGGCUGUCGUCAGCUCGUGUUGUGAAAUGUUGGGUUAAGUCCCGCAACGAGCGCAACCCUUAUCCUUUGUUGCCAGCGGUUCGGCCGGGAACUCAAAGGAGACUGCCAGUGAUAAACUGGAGGAAGGUGGGGAUGACGUCAAGUCAUCAUGGCCCUUACGACCAGGGCUACACACGUGCUACAAUGGCAUAUACAAAGAGAAGCGACCUCGCGAGAGCAAGCGGACCUCAUAAAGUAUGUCGUAGUCCGGAUUGAGUCUGCAACUCGACUCCAUGAAGUCGGAAUCGCUAGUAAUCGUAGAUCAGAAUGCUACGGUGAAUACGUUCCCGGGCCUUGUACACACCGCCCGUCACACCAUGGGAGUGGGUUGCAAAAGAAGUAGGUAGCUUAACCUUCGGGAGGGCGCUUACCACUUUGUGAUUCAUGACUGGGGUGAAGUCGUAACAAGGUAACCGUAGGGGAACCUGCGGUUGGAUCACCUCCUUA
Molecule: ribosomal RNA, 1537 nt
Filed under: Klebsiella pneumoniae
Lineage: Bacteria; Pseudomonadati; Pseudomonadota; Gammaproteobacteria; Enterobacterales; Enterobacteriaceae
Description: 16S ribosomal RNA
Rfam family: Bacterial small subunit ribosomal RNA
Source: RNAcentral